Molecule: ribosomal RNA, 432 nt
Filed under: uncultured Glomeromycotina
Lineage: Eukaryota; Fungi; Glomeromycota
Description: bacterial SSU rRNA
Rfam family: Eukaryotic small subunit ribosomal RNA
Source: RNAcentral
AGCAGCCGCGGUAAUUCCAGCUCCAAUAGCGUAUAUUAAAGUUGUUGCAGUUAAAAAGCUCGUAGUUGAAUUUCGGGAUUGGCGUACCGGUCGUGUCUUCGGGCAUGUACUGGUAAUGUUAAUCUCCACCUUCUAGUGAACUAUUAUGUCUUUAACUAGGUGUAAUAGGGAGCUAGGACUGUUACUUUGAAAAAUUAGAGUGUUUAAAGCAGGCUUUAUGCUUGAAUAGAUUAGCAUGGAAUAACGAAAUAGGACGGCAUGAUUCUAUUUUGUUGGUUUCUAGGAUCACCGUAAUGAUUAAUAGGGAUAGUUGGGGGCAUUAGUAUUCAAUUGUCAGAGUGAAAUUCUUGGAUUUAUUGAAGACUAACUACUGCGAAAGCAUUUGCCAAGGAUGUUUUCAUUAAUCAAGAACGAAAGUUAGGGGAUCGAAGA